Molecule: ribosomal RNA, 409 nt
Filed under: bacterium
Lineage: Bacteria
Description: partial 16S ribosomal RNA
Rfam family: Bacterial small subunit ribosomal RNA
Source: RNAcentral
UGGGGAAUAUUGCACAAUGGGCGAAAGCCUGAUGCAGCGACGCCGCGUGAGGGAUAACGGCCUUCGGGUUGUAACUCUCUUUCAGUAGGGACGAAGCGCAAGUGACGGUACCUGCAGAAGAAGCACCGGCUAACUACGUGCCAGCAGCCGCGGUAAUACGUAGGGUGCGAGCGUUGUCCGGAAUUACUGGGCGUAAAGAGCUCGUAGGCGGUUUGUCACGUCGUCUGUGAAAUCCUAGGGCUUAACCCUGGACGUGCAGGCGAUACGGGCUGACUUGAGUACUACAGGGGAGACUGGAAUUUCUGGUGUAGCGGUGGAAUGCACAGAUAUCAGGACGAACACCGAUGGCGAAGGCAGGUCUCUGGGUAGUAACUGACGCUGAGGAGCGAAAGCAUGGGUAGCGAACAGG